GCUCUAGUAGCUUAACUCAUUCAAAGCAUGGCACUGAAGAUGCUAAGAUGGUAACCAUACUACCCAAGAGC
Molecule: transfer RNA, 71 nt
Filed under: Callipepla douglasii (Elegant quail)
Lineage: Eukaryota; Metazoa; Chordata; Aves; Galliformes; Odontophoridae
Description: tRNA-Phe
Rfam family: tRNA
About the family: Transfer RNA (tRNA) molecules are approximately 80 nucleotides in length. Their secondary structure includes four short double-helical elements and three loops (D, anti-codon, and T loops).
Source: RNAcentral